This 651-nucleotide ribosomal RNA is filed under the name uncultured Actinomycetales bacterium. RNAcentral's name for it is "bacterial SSU rRNA". It matches the Rfam family "Bacterial small subunit ribosomal RNA", at positions 89 to 753 of the family's 1533-position model. The record is from RNAcentral. Lineage: Bacteria; Bacillati; Actinomycetota; Actinomycetes; Actinomycetales.
ACUCGAGUGGCGAACGGGUGAGUAACACGUGGGUGAUCUGCCCUGCACUUCGGGAUAAGCUUGGGAAACUGGGUCUAAUACCGGAUAGGAGCCAUCUUUAGUGUGGUGGUUGGAAAGUUUUUUCGGUGUAGGAUGAGCUCGCGGCCUAUCAGCUUGUUGGUGGGGUAAUGGCCUACCAAGGCGGCGACGGGUAGCCGGCCUGAGAGGGUGUACGGCCACAUUGGGACUGAGAUACGGCCCAGACUCCUACGGGAGGCAGCAGUGGGGAAUAUUGCACAAUGGGCGCAAGCCUGAUGCAGCGACGCCGCGUGGGGGAUGAAGGCCUUCGGGUUGUAAACUCCUUUCGCUAGGGACGAAGCUUUGUUGUGACGGUACCUAGAUAAGAAGCACCGGCUAACUACGUGCCAGCAGCCGCGGUAAUACGUAGGGUGCGAGCGUUGUCCGGAAUUACUGGGCGUAAAGGGCUCGUAGGUGGUUUGUCGCGUCGUCUGUGAAAUUCUGGGGCUUAACUCCGGGCGUGCAGGCGAUACGGGCAUAACUUGAGUGCUGUAGGGGUAACUGGAAUUCCUGGUGUAGCGGUGAAAUGCGCAGAUAUCAGGAGGAACACCGAUGGCGAAGGCAGGUUACUGGGCAGUUACUGACGCUGAGGAG